GAACUGAAACAUCUAAGUACCCCGAGGAAAAGAAAUCAACCGAGAUUCCCCCAGUAGCGGCGAGCGAACGGGGAGCAGCCCAGAGCCUGAAUCAGUGUGUGUGUUAGUGGAAGCGUCUGGAAAGGCGCGCGAUACAGGGUGACAGCCCCGUACACAAAAAUGCACAUAUUGUGAGCUCGAUGAGUAGGGCGGGACACGUGGUAUCCUGUCUGA
This 213-nucleotide ribosomal RNA is filed under the name Escherichia coli. RNAcentral describes it as "partial 23S ribosomal RNA". It matches the Rfam family "Bacterial large subunit ribosomal RNA", at positions 190 to 441 of the family's 2925-position model. The record is from RNAcentral. Lineage: Bacteria; Pseudomonadati; Pseudomonadota; Gammaproteobacteria; Enterobacterales; Enterobacteriaceae.